RNAcentral lists this ribosomal RNA (417 nucleotides) under Borreliella bissettiae. RNAcentral's name for it is "bacterial LSU rRNA". It matches the Rfam family "Bacterial large subunit ribosomal RNA", at positions 2497 to 2925 of the family's 2925-position model. The record is from RNAcentral. Lineage: Bacteria; Pseudomonadati; Spirochaetota; Spirochaetia; Spirochaetales; Borreliaceae.
AGUUCACAUCGACGGAAGGGUUUGGCACCUCGAUGUCGGCUCAUCGCAUCCUAGGGCUGGAGCAGGUCCUAAGGGUAUGGCUGUUCGCCAUUUAAAGCGGUACGCGAGCUGGGUUCAGAACGUCGUGAGACAGUUUGGUCCCUAUCUGCCACAAGCGUUGGAUAUUUGAGAGGAGCUAUCUUUAGUACGAGAGGACCGAGAUGGACGAACCUCUAGUGUACCAGUUAUCCUGCCAAGGGUAAGUGCUGGGUAGCUACGUUCGGAAAGGAUAACCGCUGAAAGCAUCUAAGUGGGAAGCCUUCCUCAAGAUGAGAUAUCCUUUAAGGGUCCUGGAAGAAUACCAGGUUGAUAGGUUAGAAGUGUAAGUAUAGUAAUAUAUUAAGCUGACUAAUACUAAUUACCCGUAUCUUUGGCCAU